RNAcentral lists this transfer RNA (26 nucleotides) under Acipenser sturio (sturgeon). Its description in RNAcentral is "partial tRNA-Phe". The record is from RNAcentral. RNAcentral also lists the same sequence under 1 other name. Lineage: Eukaryota; Metazoa; Chordata; Actinopteri; Acipenseriformes; Acipenseridae.
GCUAGCGUAGCUUAACUAAAGCAUAA